GCGAUUCUCCUGCGUCAGACUCCUGAGUAGCUGGGAUUACAGGUAUGGGAAGCUGUGGAUUCAUAACCUGAGUAAAUUAAGGAAUUUCACAUUAUGAACUCAAUUUGAGAUGGGCUGGACUGGUGAUACCUGGAAGGGGUAAAUGACAAUCCACUCUGGAGGCACCUUAUGCCUUAGGGAGCAUCCACAAAUCAUUUUUCAGGAACAGUGACCAGCAAGUUGUCACAGAUAUCCAGCAUGCAAGGGGACAGAACCACAUGAAUAAGAUCAAAUAGAAACAACAGAUAGUAUAAGCAGAUUCAUCUAAACUGAGUAGCUUUGAACUAGGGAUGUUGCUUUGGUUUGGGUUCAAGGCCCCCAUUCAACAUCUCUUAGCCCACAAUGGUGAGUCUUCAAGACAUAUGAAUAUACAUUACAGUGACAGCUAGCCCUUGGUAUCUGCUGGCACGUAGAUACCAUUGCACCACUAAUUUCCCAUAGAACCUACCCCUCCUCCAAAGUCUUUAUAGGAGCUGUAGUAGUUGCCUCUGUUUAGAUCAUGGGUUUUAUUUCCCACUCUGUCCUCUAUAUGUGGUGCUAGAUAUUAUUUCUUUUUUUUUUUUUUUUUUUUUUUUGAGACGGAGCCUCGCUCUGUCGCCCAAGCUGGAGUGCAGUGGUGCAAUCUUGGCUUACUGCAAGCUCCGCCUCCUGGGCUCACACCAUUCUCCCACCUCAGCCUCUUGAGUAGCUGGGACCACGGGCGCCCACCACCACGCCCGGCUAAUUUUUGAAAACAUUUUUAGUAGAGACGGGGUUUCACUGUGUUAGCCAGGAUGGUCUCGAUCUCCUGAACUCGUGAUUCACCCACCUCAGCCUCCCAAAGUGCUGGGAUUACAGGCGUGAGCCACUGCGCCAAGCCAAUAUUGUUUAUUUCUAAUCAGCACUAAUUUCUACCUCUUUUUGUGCUCUUACCUUUGUUUCAGGGGCUGGAAACCUAACAAUUUCACUUCCUAGACUACUUGCUAAAAGUCACCUAAACAGUCAAAAAAAAAAAAAAAAAGACACUGGGCUAUAGCUCAGAUUACACAAGUAUCUCUAGCUAAAGGAUAUGAAUGAGUGAAUGAGGCAAAAUAGGGAA
This is a non-coding RNA of Macaca mulatta (Rhesus monkey), 1117 nucleotides long. The record is from RefSeq and is a predicted model, not a curated record. Lineage: Eukaryota; Metazoa; Chordata; Mammalia; Primates; Cercopithecidae.